AAAGAAUAUGCUUAGAUCCAUCAAGUAUUUUUUUAUUAGACUUAGCUGUAUUCCUUCUAUGAUGGCAAGAAGCACAUGAAUGAAGCUUGUUCAUGAACUAGGCUAACCACAGGUAGUUUCGUUGUGUUGCCAAUUUAUCUCAUAGCUUUCAACUCACAGGCAAGCCUUUCCACCCGGCUCCUCCUCCUGUUCAGUGCAGUGCCCUGUUUUUGAGUUUGCAGUUCGUUAUUUUAUAUCAAGGAGAAUCUCUGAUCUUUUUUCCCCUUCCAUUCUGAAAUGAUGUUCAUCGGGUUUUUUAGUUUUCCCCAAAGCACCUUCGUUCUUGACGUUAAGUGCAAUCUCUCUCUAACCCUAAAGCUGGUGAGGAUAGCACAGUUGUGCUCACUGCAGUCAGGUACUAAGGAGAUGGUGGGUUUGCAACCACACAGACAGGUCAGUAGAUAUGAUGUAUCUUGCUGGGCAGGAGUCUUUCCUUCACUUGACCUUCAGAACCUUCCUAGAAU
RNAcentral lists this long non-coding RNA (503 nucleotides) under Bos taurus (domestic cattle). RNAcentral describes it as "long non-coding RNA NONBTAT018897". Lineage: Eukaryota; Metazoa; Chordata; Mammalia; Artiodactyla; Bovidae. The record is from RNAcentral.